UCAGAAAGCCACGGCUAACUACGUGCCAGCAGCCGCGGUAACACGUAGGUGGCAAGCGUUAUCCGGAAUUAUUGGGCGUAAAGCGCGCGUAGGCCGGUUUUUUAAAGUCUGAGGUGAAAGCCCACGGCUCAACCGUGGAGGGUCAUUGGAAACUGGAAAACUUGAGUGCAGAAGAGGAAAGUGGAAUUCCAUGUGUAGCGGUGAAAUGCGCAGAGAUAUGGAGGAACACCAGUGGCGAAGGCGACUUUCUGGUCUGUAACUGACGCUGAUGUGCGAAAGCGUGGGGAUCAAACAGGAUUAGAUACCCUGGUAGUCCACGCCGUAAACGAUGAGUGCUAAGUGUUAGGGGGUUUCCGCCCCUUAGUGCUGCAGCUAACGCAUUAAGCACUCCGCCUGGGGAGUACGACCGCAAGGUUGAAACCCAAAGGAAUUGACGGGGACCCGCACAAGCGGUGGAGCAUGUGGUUUAAUUCGAAGCAACGCGAAGAACCUUACCAAAUCUUGACAUCCUUUGACCG
This 518-nucleotide ribosomal RNA is filed under the name uncultured bacterium. RNAcentral's name for it is "bacterial SSU rRNA". It matches the Rfam family "Bacterial small subunit ribosomal RNA", at positions 483 to 997 of the family's 1533-position model. The record is from RNAcentral.